Molecule: ribosomal RNA, 497 nt
Filed under: uncultured bacterium
Lineage: Bacteria
Description: partial 16S ribosomal RNA
Rfam family: Bacterial small subunit ribosomal RNA
Source: RNAcentral
GAUGAACGCUGGCGGCGUGCCUAAUACAUGCAAGUCGAGCGAACAGACGAGGAGCUUGCUCCUCUGACGUUAGCGGCGGACGGGUGAGUAACACGUGGAUAACCUACCUAUAAGACUGGGAUAACUUCGGGAAACCGGAGCUAAUACCGGAUAAUAUAUUGAACCGCAUGGUUCAAUAGUGAAAGACGGUUUUGCUGUCACUUAUAGAUGGAUCCGCGCCGCAUUAGCUAGUUGGUAAGGUAACGGCUUACCAAGGCGACGAUGCGUAGCCGACCUGAGAGGGUGAUCGGCCACACUGGAACGGAGACACGGUCCAGACUCCUACGGGAGGCAGCAGUAGGGAAUCGUCCGCAAUGGGCGAAAGCCUGACGGAGCAACGCCGCGUGAGUGAUGAAGGUCUUCGGAUCGUAAAACUCUGUUAUUAGGGAAGAACAAAUGUGUAAGUAACUAUGCACGUCUUGACGGUACCUAAUCAGAAAGCCACGGCUAACUACGUG